Molecule: ribosomal RNA, 274 nt
Filed under: uncultured bacterium
Lineage: Bacteria
Description: partial 16S ribosomal RNA
Rfam family: Bacterial small subunit ribosomal RNA
Source: RNAcentral
AUACGGAGGGUGCAAGCGUUAAUCGGAAUUACUGGGCGUAAAGCGCGCGUAGGCGGCUUUGUCAGUCGGAUGUGAAAGCCCUGGGCUUAACCUGGGAAUGGCAUUCGAUACUGCCAGGCUAGAGUAUGGGAGAGGGAAGUGGAAUUUCCGGUGUAGCGGUGAAAUGCGUAGAUAUCGGAAGGAACACCAGUGGCGAAGGCGACUUCCUGGCCCAAUACUGACGCUGAGGUGCGAAAGCGUGGGGAGCGAACAGGAUUAGAUACCCUAGUAGUCC